AGCGAACGCUGGCGGCAGGCCUAACACAUGCAAGUCGAACGAACCUUUCGGGGUUAGUGGCGGACGGGUGAGUAACACGUGGGAACGUGCCUUUAGGUUCGGAAUAACUCAGGGAAACUUGUGCUAAUACCGAAUGUGCCCUUCGGGGGAAAGAUUAAUCGCCUUUAGAGCGGCCCGCGUCUGAUUAGCUAGUUGGUUGAGGUAAUGGCUCACCAAGGCGACGUUCAGUAGCUGGUCUGAGAGGAUGAUCAGCCACAUUGGGACUGAGACACGGCCCAAACUCCUACGGGAGGCAGCAGUGGGGAAUCUUGCGCAAUGGGCGAAAGCCUGACGCAGCCAUGCCGCGUGAAUGAUGAAGGUCUUAGGAUUGUAAAAUUCUUUCACCGGGGACGAUAAUGACGGUACCCGGAGAAGAAGCCCCGGCUAACUUCGUG
RNAcentral lists this ribosomal RNA (434 nucleotides) under uncultured bacterium. RNAcentral describes it as "partial 16S ribosomal RNA". It matches the Rfam family "Bacterial small subunit ribosomal RNA", at positions 29 to 507 of the family's 1533-position model. The record is from RNAcentral.